Lates calcarifer (barramundi perch) is the source of this 1265-nucleotide long non-coding RNA. RefSeq lists it as uncharacterized. NCBI's taxonomy places the organism in Eukaryota, Metazoa, Chordata, Actinopteri, Centropomidae. The record is from RefSeq and is a predicted model, not a curated record. The transcript has 3 exons.
AACUGCACGAAGAUUUAAAAGUCCUUAGUAUGCAGCAGUGAGCAUUAGACACUGACUUAGCACUUGCUCUUUUGCACUUACAGUUCUUUUGCACUGAAAAUUAUUUGUUGUAUAUUUUUUAUGUUAGAAAACUGCUUUGAGUGGAAAAAUGCCAAAGCUGAAAAAUAAAACUCAAGAUUUGUACUAUAAUAUGUAAUGUAAUUUUCUUUGUUAGAAAUGAUUUGAUAAAAUUGGUAUUGAUAAAAGUAUCGAUUCAAGAACAGGUAUCGAAAUCAAGGUAUUGGUACCAGAAUCGAAAACUUUUGAACGAUACCCAGCACUAUCUCUGACAAGUACUUGGUCCCUAAAAGGAGAACUACGUCUGUUUGUGUCUGAGGUGGUUUAGCUUUAUAGAGAUCAGACAAAAUUUAGGUCAUAGACCUUAUUUUCUGAAAUGAUAAUCAAGAAAAAAAAAAGAAAAACAUUUUUUGUCGAGGGAAUCAGAGUGACGCAAACGUUGGCCUACUUUGGCCUACAAAAAUACGUCAUCCGUAUGAUGAAGUUGAAGUCAUCCUGCUGCAGCUCAUCAAUCACGGACGGGGAGAGGCCAUACUAGCUUUUCAACAUAGUUUAAGUCAAGUUUCUUCGUCGACUGAACAACCUAGCUAGCUCGGGGAUAAUCUAUGUUGUUUAUUAUCGAAUAACCAAUGCCCGCUUCUUGUCUUAUUGGUGAAAUGUAAGCAAGUAAAAAAUCAUAAGUGACAGUAAUGUUACUUUCAUUUCAGGAGUCUAAAACGCUAACAUUGGUUAGUACGCAAUGUACCUGUUGAGACGCUGUUUCACAGGAAAUGAAACUAGAACCGUUAUGUUUAGGGGGUCCAUUAAGUCCACGACAUGCUUUCUUAUUCUUUUACUUCAACAACGGCCUCUGCAGCGUCAAGAUAUAUUUUUUUUCUGUCGGGCUUCAUGUUCAGACUUCAGAUUAAACGGUUUUUAUGUGCAGAAAACACAGCCUGUCGAUCUGUAGACCGGAGCCCCGGCUGCGUAGAUCCACCCAAUGAACUGACAUGCCGCCGAACGAGGACUGACUCCUGGACAUAUUUGAGAGAGAAGAAAAAUAUAUUUCUGGAUUUGGAGCUCAGCCACGGAAUUCAAGGAUUUCCAUAAGUUUUGGAUCAUAAGGAAGAGGGGCUCCACUCAGUCUUGGAUUCACCACAAAAGAUAAACAACUGAGAAGCAACAAGGGAGGAAGGAAAGAACAAACAGGAAGGUGAGUGGAGGGGAUA